GACGAACGCUGGCGGCGUGCUUAACACAUGCAAGUCGAACGGAAAGGCCCUGCUUGCCGGGUACUCGAGUGGCGAACGGGUGAGUAACACGUGGGUGAUCUGCCCUGCACUUCGGGAUAAGCCUGGGAAACUGGGUCUAAUACCGGAUAGGAGCCAUUUUUAGUGUGAUGGUUGGAAAGUUUUUUCGGUGUAGGAUGAGCUCGCGGCCUAUCAGCUUGUUGGUGGGGUAAUGGCCUACCAAGGCGGCGACGGGUAGCCGGCCGGAGAGGGUGGACGGCCACAUUGGGCCUGAGGACGGGCCCAACCCCCCCCGGGGGGCACCAGGGGGUAAAAUGGCCCAAGGGCGCCAGCCCUGUUGCGGCGCCCCCGCGGGGGGAAGGCCGCCUUUGGGGUUUUAACCCCUUUUCCCUGGGGAAGAAUCUUUUUGGGAGGUUCCCUAAAAAAGAGACCCCGCCUAACUCCGUG
This 465-nucleotide ribosomal RNA is filed under the name uncultured bacterium. RNAcentral's name for it is "partial 16S ribosomal RNA". It matches the Rfam family "Bacterial small subunit ribosomal RNA", at positions 28 to 507 of the family's 1533-position model. The record is from RNAcentral.